Long non-coding RNA from Sciurus carolinensis (gray squirrel), 1412 nucleotides. RefSeq lists it as uncharacterized. The transcript has 3 exons. The record is from RefSeq and is a predicted model, not a curated record. Lineage: Eukaryota; Metazoa; Chordata; Mammalia; Rodentia; Sciuridae.
AUGUGUGCCCUUAAUAGGGCUAAUAAGAGAUGAUUAAUUGCUUUCCCCUUAAAAAUCUACUUAAUGUUUUUAUAUUUGUGGAUGUUAUAUUUAGUACAUAUUUCAGGUGGUUCUUUUAAUGGCUCUUAUCACUCUUUAGAAUUAAUCAAUUAAAAAACAAGCCAAGACUUUUUUAAGCUGUAAUCUCAGAGCCCCAGAAAUUUAUGCAUUCCUCAAAGACAUUAAUGGCUAUUUAUAUAGUUAAUUUGGCACUGACUCAUGACAGAAAUGUAUUUCUGUUCUUGGGUCAUUCUGAAAGCACUGAUUUAAAUUACGGCAUAACCUUCAGACACAUUUUCUCUUCAUUUAUAAUUAAUCACUAUGUAGCGGAGUAAAUGCUACAAUCUUGGGAGGCAAGCCAAGUCAAAUGAGGAUGCGAAGCCCUCACCCCACUUUAAAUCUUCCCAAGUUUGGAGCCUGAUGUUUGGGGAGGGAUGGUGUCAAGGGACAGGUGCAUCUCCUGUCCGUGCUGGAUAGAAUAAUUUCAUGACUGGGCAUGUUUUGAUGUGGAGGGAAAGGAGUCACAUUUCCCCAGGGGCCUCUCAAAGCUACAAGACCUUAUUCUAUUAAGCUGUGAAUACUUCAUGCCUAACAAGUAUCUGAUACACAGUAGAAGCUUAAUGACAGAUGAAUAAUAAUUGCAAGAAAAUUCCGUAACCAGAAACCUUCAAGACCUAAACGAAUCUCUAAUUGUGAAGAUUCAGAUUCCACGACAGGAGGCUCCAGUCUCCUUGAACUUGUGCUUCUGGCUUUACCAUUUUCACCCUCUGCGUCACACUAGGAAGGAGUGAGACUUGGACUUUCAUUUUGCACAUCAUUUUAACCUUGGCUGAUGGAAGCUUUCUUCAACUUCCUGUGCAGGUCAGCAACUUAAAGUCGCAGUUUCCAUAGAGAUCACACUGUGUUGUGGCCUCAUCCUUGAAGCUCUGGAUCAGUAAAAGAGUGCACUGGGGGUGUCAGGUAGAUGAUGUGCUAGGACCUUGUUUUAGUCAGCUUUUUCACUGUUGUGACUAAAGGAUCUGAGCAGAACAGUCGUAGAGGAGGUAAAACACACCUUUUUUGCAGCUUCUCUGGGAGGUCAUGGGGUUUUAUUGCACUCAGCCCUAAGAGCUGUGUAAAUCCUAAAUGUUGGCAGCAGAGGACAUCUUUGGCAUGAAAUAUUGUUUCCUUUCCUUUUAUGGUCAGUGAAGAAAUUAAAGUUUGUGGUUGUUUCCUUUCUUUCUUUUCUCAGAGAAUGUUUAGUCUAUAUAUGAGAACAGUUUUGAGCUUCUUAUUUUUAUUGUAAUCUCUAAUUCUUUUUCAGCAGAGAUAGGCUUUGUGUAUUACAAAUUUCCUUUUUGCUCCGGAAGAAAUGCUUGUUUGGGCUUAUUACG